This 1036-nucleotide long non-coding RNA is filed under the name Olea europaea subsp. europaea. Lineage: Eukaryota; Viridiplantae; Streptophyta; Magnoliopsida; Lamiales; Oleaceae. The record is from RNAcentral.
UCUGAUCAGAGUGAUUGGUUCUUUUCAUAUCUGAUGAUGAUAUGAGAUUUUAGCGUCGAAAACUAAUUGUUUGUUAGAACUUCUAGAAUCGUAAAAGAAUAUCCUAUUCAAACUGAUGCAAGUCAAGCAACAAACCAUACAAACUCCAUCUGCAUGUCUAAAAACUUUGAAAUUCCCAUCAACAGUCACACCACCAGAAUUGCAAAUGAGAAAAUCGAUAACAGAUGUAACAGAGAUUGAGAACUUUCCACAUCAGAAAUUUUCAAUGCAGCUAAGGGCAGUGGCAUUGAACAUCCAAGAAGCAUGGCCAUAUAUCCGUCAGCAUUGCAGAAAGGGGUAAAUAGUUGUGAACUGUGAAUAAACAUUUUAACAAAAUCACAACGGUCAUAAACUUGCUAAAGGGAAAAUCAAAAUUAAAUCAUGAUGCAGUUAUUUUGCAAUUGACUGUGAAGGUUGAUGAUCACAAAGUGAAUUUUCAAGCAAUGAAACAUUGAAACACAAAAGGCUAAAAAUUGCAACGAAUUUCAAGCUAUAUUGUGAAGAAAAGUAAUUUAAAUGGCUACACUAAGUAAGAUUGCACCAUGGUAUCCUAAAGAUGAAUCCAAAAACACUACCAUACAUGUACUAAAAGAAUUAAAAAAAGCUAAAAUCCACUGCUUUUCUCUCGUUAUCAGAUCUCAACAGCUUCAAACCUAGGCAUUUCUUUUCAGUUUCUGAUGAGUUCUCCACAUUGGUUGAGAUAACUCUUAUUUCAAGGGGAGGCUUUGUUAAAAAAGAUAAUGAUUCCAUCUAUUCUCAUACGUUUUCUACCCCUGUUUACGAAUUAAUACGACGUUAGAACUCCUUGCACAAUGCAUAGACUUUUUGAACAUAACAAUAGGCCGCCGAACCGAUUUGCAGACCUUAGGAGGGUAACAUGGGCAAAACAGAAAAAAGAGGCAGAAUAGGAAGCUCAUGCAAGGAUUCAUGUUGGAAAACAGAGGAGUUCAUGCAUCAGGGGAAUUAAUUGAGAACUUGAAGUUGAACUUAAUUUCAG